Molecule: long non-coding RNA, 252 nt
Organism: Symphalangus syndactylus (siamang)
Lineage: Eukaryota; Metazoa; Chordata; Mammalia; Primates; Hylobatidae
Source: RefSeq, a predicted model, not a curated record
UGAUCACCUGAACAACAUGGACUCAAACCCUGUAGCUAUUGGAUUUUGAGCUUUAAAUUCAUCUGGUACCUGUCGUGGGACUCCCAAGCAUCUAUGUAAAUAUUCAGAAAAACAAUCAUUUGUCAGCAGACCCGCAUGAUAAGACAUACCAGAAAAGUCCUUCCGACUGGAAGAGAAUUACUUCAAGUGAAAAUUCAGAUUUACAGGAAGAAGAAAGGCAAAAAUAAUAAAUACGUGUGUAUAUGUAAAAAC